RNAcentral lists this long non-coding RNA (18020 nucleotides) under Ananas comosus (pineapple). RNAcentral describes it as "long non-coding RNA (ACOM_LNC003257)". The record is from RNAcentral. Lineage: Eukaryota; Viridiplantae; Streptophyta; Magnoliopsida; Poales; Bromeliaceae.
GUAGCACACUGGACCUUUGCAAAGUGCGAGGUUCGAGUGUUCGAUUUGCAUUCCGAACUUUUCCACACUUGGUGGAGGGCCGUCGAUGGUAUACCGGUCUAAAAGUUCGAUCUCGAGAGUUUUGGCAAAUCCUGAGAGUUUUUACUCUCGGGGACCGGUCCCUGGAAUGAGAGACCGGUCCCCCAGUGAACAGUGCUGCGUAGCCGCGAGGCAACCGGUCCCUGGCAAUCGAGACCGGUCCCCGAGCGCGUCUUCGCAGUGAGAGACCGGUCCCGCGCAGGGAGAGACCGGUUCCCGAACGCUGGGUUUUCGGGUUCGCAGCGAGAGACCGGUCCCUGCUGGGGAGAGACCGGUCCCUCUGGGCGAAAACUGCCCAGACCGGGCUGAUGUAAUAUUGAGUUUUUGAGGGGCUUAUCUGGAUUUUGUUACUUUAGAGCCUAUAGAGAGCCCUUCUUCUCUCUCUUUCCCUCAUUUCUCUCAACCCUUGGCAUUUUAGAGAGAGAAGAAGAGAGGGAGAAGAAGAAGAAGAAGAAGAAGAGGAGAGGAGAAGCUUGCUUGGAGGCUUGGAGCAUCACCUUCUUCCUCAUUUCUCACCUUUGGUGGCUUUGCACUUGCGGUUGGAGCUUUGUGAAGGAUCAAACCUCAACCCUACUUGGUUUUGAGCUUGGAUUGGAGCUUCUCUUGAGGUUGGUAGCUUUUAAUCCCCAUUUGAUGCUUGUUUUCCUAGGUUUUCUAGAUGAAACCCUAGAUUUUGGGAUUUAGGGUUUAUUUUGGGGAUUUUGGAUUUGGGACUUCUUGAUCUCAUUUGAAUGGUUUGGAACCUCUAUAUAGGUUAGAUUGGAAGACCUCUACCUUCCAUUUGAGGAUUUAGAGAGGGUUUUCCACUUGAGGUGAGUUUUCCCCAACCCUAGCUUGAGUUGGUUAUUGAUUGAGCUAUUUGCUCUUCGUUUCGUUUGGGUGACCCUAUCUUUGAUGUUUCUAGAGUACUAGGGAGCUUGUGGAUAUCUUCGUUCGGCGAAACGAAGAAGUCGAUUCUUUCGGUGGGUUUGACUUCAUGAAAAUGGGGCAAAAUGGCCCCUAUGCCUUCUAACCCAUUUGUAAAGUAUUUUUGAAUGCAAAUUCAUGCUAAGCAUGAUUUAUAUGAAUGUUAGAACACUUAUCAUGCAUGCCUCAUGUAUCGUAAAAUUUGUACUCCAUAUAGUGGAGCUAUAUGUGUAAAUUGCAUACAUUGUGAAUAGUGCUUUGUUUUGCGAGUUGAGAACAUGUCUCCAUGCUAGAUUGAGUGAACUAUGCAUCAUGAACAUAUUAAUGCCAUGCUUGAGACUCAUAGCACAAAAGUGUCAUAAAGAGGCACUUGGAAUUAGCAAACUAUAAAAUGCCACUUAGAGACAUGAUGAUAGGCCAUUGUACAUCUGCUAUAUAUACCAUGUUAGAGACAUGAUGACAUAGAGAUAGGCCUUUGGGACUUUCGAUACAUUUCAUGUUAUUAGACAUGAGGACUUGGUACUUGCGACAGAUCGUUUGACUACUUGCCAUUGUGCUCAUUCGCACAUGCUUGUGAGGGUCGCUCCCUACAAGCCGGCACUCCGGAGAUAGCCAUCGCGAUUCAUAUUCGCCGUGCGGGAUUGGGCGCCGAAGUGGAUUGCCGUGGGACAGGCUCAUUCCUAGGGUGGGGAUGAUGACUACCACGGGGCCAUUAGGCUCGGCACCGGCCAGACAGCCUACGGGUGGGUCUCAGGGCCAUAGACAGCCUUCGGGUGGGUCUCUUCAGAUUUGAUUUGAGUAUUCGUCAUGACAUAUGGACAGAUAAUGACUUAGAGCAUUACUUGGACACUGACUAGAAUAGUAAACCACGGAACUUUACUAUUUCGCAUUGUGAACAUUUUGUUUAGUUGGAGGCCUCUACUUCAUGCAUAGUUGAUUUCGUACUUAUGCUAUUUAUACUAAGUAGAAUUAUCAUGUAGCAGUAAGUUACCAUUUUACUUGCCUUUCGCUUUCCUACAUGUAUAGUCACUGACAUCUUUUGUAGCUUUGGGCCUUGUGGUGCAUUCACUGAAGUCAGUAAUUGCCCACUGGGAACUAUUUUUAAUAGUUCUCAUGCCCCCGUUUUGUGGUUUACUUUUCAGAGCCUUCGGCACCGGCGGAGGCACGGGAUCGCGGCAAGGGUGUCGCGUAGCUAGCUCGCGGAGAGUUCUUUUGCGAUAGGUGGUUACUCCUCUAUUUUAUAUUAUGUGAGAGAGGGAGAGAUUUUGUACAUUGUAUAGAGAGACCACCUUGUACUCCUUUUAGCACUUGUUAUGGGAUUCCUGUUGUAUUUACUUUAUGCUUUAUUUAGUGGAUUUGCAGCUUCACCCUUGCUUCUUGUUGUAGCAUUUAGAUAUUCUUUAUACUCUGAUACUCUUAGAUGCCUUUUGUUAUUGCUUUAUUAUUGUUGUUUUUAGACGCCUUAUACGUUUUAGACGUAUGGCGGGUCUGGGCACGUGCCGGGCGGGCUUCCGCUGGGUCCCGGGGCGUGACAGUCUGUUCGCUUGGUGGUGGUCGCUCCACCCAAGUAGUGAUUUUCGGAGUACUUCACGGUAGGGGUUAACGUAGCUACCCCGCAGACGGUCCCGGGUGAGUGUUUAGCCGACGUCUCCUCACCUGUUGGAUUUGGUUGUGAGUCGGGGCUUAACCUUCGGGUUAGCCGGAAUGAUUGGGUUAUGAGAUAUGGAUGGCAUGCAUCAUGAGCAUAGUAGUUGCUAGUACAUGUUUAUUGUACCCGUUUCUUAUAUCAUAUUGCCAAGGCAUAGUAGCAUGCUAAAUGUUUAUUAUAUUGCUAACCCUUCUACUUAUGCCUGCUUAGACCUAGCGGAAAAAUUGGCAGGGUCGGCAGUCGAACCCACUGGGAACUUUUGUUAGCUCUCAUCCCACUUUGUUGCAGGGCCUAGCACGAGCGGACCGGUCGAGGAUCGCGGUAAGGUUAUUGUAACAUAUCACAUCCCUGACGAGUUAUACCGAACUUCCGUCAAAUUGACCAAAGUGUGGUGGCGGACGUGUUAGAAUGGUCCGUUGGCCAUUCCGAAUGUUUCAGAAUGUGUAAAAUGGGUGUUUGGAUAUGGGAGAGCAAGCUGGAAAAUUUUUAGCUCGUUUUAUACUGAAAAUGCUCUCGGGGUCCGGACCCCAUACACGAAAUUUCGUGGGAUGGUUGGCCCUGUAGUAUGAGGGGGUUGGAUGCAAUUGUGUGUGUGUGUGAGUGUUUAUAAGUGGAGGCUUGGUGGUUUUGCUCUCAUUUCCCUCACACCACUACCAAAGAGAAGUCUCUCUUUCUCUCUCUAAAACCCUUCACUCUCUCCCUCUCUUUUCUUCUCUUACUAGGGUUUGAUCCAAAAGAGAAGGUUGGUGGAGAAGAAGGCUUGCUAGAGGUGAAGCUUGGUUUGUGCAAGGGGUUUUGGAGAAAGCUUGGACUCAAGGUGAGUUUUGGGGGCUUUAAGCUAGGGUUUGGUUGUGUUUCCUUCUAGUAAGUGUUUCUAGAAGUUGUAAUGGUGGAUUGGUUCUUGAAUAUCCAUGAUUUAGUGGGUAUUUGAAAAUAGUGGAAACCCUAGGGUUCAUAUUAGGGUUUUGGAAAUUAUGAGGUCUAAGUUGGGAUUGAUCUCUUGUAGCCCUAAUUGGUGGAUAGUCUGACGCGUUUGAAGACUCAGAUUGGAGUUCCGACGGAUCUACGUUGAGAUUUUAGAGAAAAACCUCUUUUCGGCUUCGUUUGCCGAGGGUCACAGAAAUAGGUUGCAAGGUGCCGAACUUCUAAAAUUAUGAAGAUCCGGUGUAUGUUGGUUUGGAAAGCCAUUUGAAUGGCUCCGGUGAGGUUCCGGUGAAAUUCAGAAGCAUUCGGGCGUUUUCGGAGCGCGUAGGCGCGAAAACGGUACCCGAAAGCUAUGUUGGACCAUGAACUUAAUCCGACAUUAACGUAGAUGAAAAGAUGAUGAAAACACGCUCGAAAACAUGUUUUAGGAGUCUCGGUGCAAUUUGAGACGAAUCGGAGACUCACGGAGCGAAAACGAGCGAAAACGGACCAAAAUUGGCGAAAAUGUUGAAAUUUUGGCUAAGUUUGAAAAUGCUGAUUUUCUGGACCUAUGGGGUCCGGACUGUAAUGUACCGAAAAUUCGGAAAAUAAAUAUCGAACUUUAGUCAAGUUGACCAAAGUGCGAGGAUGGUACACUUCGGAAAGUCCGAAGGUGUUAAAAUGAUCAAAAGUGAGUUACGGGAGGUUUUCGAGAGCUAAGGGAUCAAAUUCUGCAAAACUGCAGAUUUUGAGCUCUCGGGGACCGAUCCCUGGUGGGAGAGACCGGUCCCCGAACGCGUAUGGAAUGAGACAGCCGAAAAAUCGGCUAAGUCCUGAGAAAUCAGCUCUCGGGAACCGGUCCCUGCCUGAGAGACCGGUCCCCGAGAGACCGGUCCCACCAGAGAGAGACCGGUCGCAUUGCGCGCAGCAGCUUUGGCUGCGUUGGGAGAGCUCUCGGAGACCGGUCCCUAGUCGGGGAGACCGGUCCCCGAGCCCGAAAUCUGCCCAGUUCGGGCAGUGUAUUUAAGUGAAAGAUGAGGGGUUUAUUAGCAUUUUUGCAGCCCAAUGGUUAUGUAUGAGGGACAUGAGGGCUUUUCUCUCAUUUCACUCCCUCUCCCACUCUCAUCUCUCUUUCUCUCUCUAGAAAACAAAGAAGGAGAAGAAAAAGAGAAGGAAAAGAAGGAAAAGAAGAAGAAGGAAGUGGAGAAGAAGCUAUUGGAGUGAAGCAACUUUAUCUUUUUCCUCUCGAGGGCAAGAAAGGAGCAAGCUUAGAGGUAAGCUUUGCCUCUUCUCAUGUUAAACUCCAAACUAGGGUUUGGAUUAGAGCAAAGAUGGGUUUUACGGAACUAUUUGAGUAUUUGAACCUUUUCUUUUGCUUCUUUUGAGAUCAAGGCCAUGGAAAUAGUGAAGCUUGAGGUGAGCUUCAUCACCUCUCAUGGUGAAACCCUAAGUAGGGUUUUGAUUUGUCUAUGGAUGGUUCUAAUGGACUUUUUAGAGUAGAAUGAAGCUACUUUUGCUUCUCUUUGAGAUCAAACCCUAGGUUUGAUGAAUGCUAUGGAGCUAGGGCACCAAAUUGGGGCUUUUGCUCAUGGGGAUUUCUAAGUGCAAUUGACCCUCUAGAAACCUAAUUGGGGGUAUUUCCGACGCGUUGGUGCGCUCGGAUUAACGUUACGAAAAGUCUAUAGAAAGAUAUGGGCAAAAUGGCCUAAGUUGGCUUCGUUUUGUCGCAGGUGAAGAACGAGGAGCUUAUAAAUCUCAAGAAAAUCGUCGGAGCAUCUAAAUAGACCUACGAGGUGGGUGGUGCUUCUCAAACUCAUUGAACUUCUCUCUAUGCCUAAUGUGUCAUUCAUUUGAGCAUGUAUAUAUAUUGUUGCAUGCAUUUUAGGGUAAAGUAAUGAUGAAAAUGUAAUGAUGCAUGAUUGUGAGUACAACUUGCAUAAUAUGAUGAAUGAGAACUAUGUAAACGUCAAAAACCCUAUGUGUAUGCAUGAGAGAAAAAUGAGCACCCAAAGUGAGCAAAAGAACAGAGUGACACAAUGACAUAGAUCCAGUGGCAUUCCAUAAAGCUAAUGUGAAAUGACACUAGAGAUAGUGUGAGGUAAAGAACCAAUGAAAUGUAAAGAAUGAUGAAAAUGACAAUGCUUAAAGUUAAAGUAAUGUGGGAAGUAAAGAACAUGAAGUGCUAGAGGUAGCCAAAAAUAAAGAAUUGUAAAGAAUGUGUUCGCAUGAGUUUGCAACAAAAAGUGAUGAAAGAACACUAGAGCUAGUGUAAAGUCAAGAUUGAACUUAUAAAUCCUUUGAGUUAAGGAUAUGAUCAUACUUGCUAUGAGUUCCGUGCUCGAGGGCGGUCGCUCCCCCUCGGGCGAUGCGCUCCGGAGUUAUGCAUCACGGGUUGGAGUAAACCCGAAGGACGGUCCUAGCGGGUGAGUUCCUGCGAUGAUGGACUUAAUGUGAAGCAAGUUAAUGUGGCGAAACCCCCGGGUUAGCCUUGAGAUUAAAGAAUAAAGAAUAAAGAACAAAGAGCAAAGAACAAAGAACAAAGAGUAACGUGAAAAGAACAAAGAAUUUGCAUAAUCUGCAUUUAUUUAAUGUUGAGCAUAUUUCUGCUUUAUUGUUCAGGCAUAUUAGCAUCAUGUAUAGAUUGGUUACUAUAUGCAGCUUAUUCUUUCUAUUAUGCCUGAGUUAGUCCUAGUGGGAAAGUCGGUGAUGUUGAGGCCGAACCCACUGGGAACUUUGUUGUAGUUCUCACCCCACUAUUUCCACAGAGCCGGGACCGAGCGAGCCGGCGAGCGACCGCGGUAAAGGUAUCGCACCGUAGUCAGAGGCCACCGGAGUUGGGUUACAUUUUGAUAGUAGCUACCCUAUGUUCAUCUUUUGUAUUUGAUGACUAGUAAUGUAAAGAAAAGAAUGUAAAGCUUAUCUUGAGGUAAAUUGUGAUGUAAGAAAGAAAUGAUGAAAUUAUGUAAUAAAAUGCAAAGAAUCCUAAAUGUAAGAAAUGGAUGCAAUGUAUAUGAUCUAAAAUGAAUCAUAUUACUUGUGUAGAAGUUUAGUUUUCCUUUCUUUCACUAAUGGCUAUUGCUUACCCUCGUGUAAGCCGUUUGUGUAUGUUUCCGCUAAUGCAUUUCUUAUUUGAAUUUGUACAUGUGAUGAGCCUUGGGCGGAUAGGGAAAACUUUGUCCGUUCGGCGUCUGUUUGACGUGCUCGGGUCGGGCCAAAUUGGUAUCGCUCCCGGGGCGUGACACGGACCCUGGCUUCAGGAUCCGGACCCUGAGCCUGAAAAAUGCCCAGAAACAGCAGGGACUAAUUGGUAAUUGUGGGUGCUUUGCUUUAGAAAAGGGGCCAACUCCUCUCUUCUUCUUCCUCAGCCAAAAAGCACCACACACACACACCUUGGUAGAGAGAGGAGCUCCUCCCUCUCUCUAGAUUUCUCCUCCAUCUCUCUAGAUCUAUCUCUCAAACUCGGAGGCUUGGAGGAGAAGGAUCUUGCGAACGCCUGGGAGGUGAUGGUUCAAGCUUUCGUGCGGCCGUUUGAGCGGCAUGCUCCCGUCUCGGCGUUCGCAAAUUGGUAAGCUUUUGGGAUUUGGUUUAAUCCUUAAUGCUUGGUGGUUUAAUAGUCCCUAGUGUAGUUUUAGCAUGCUUUCCCCAUGAGAUUUGGGUUAUUGGAGUUGAUACUAAAGCUAGGGCUCCAAAAUGGGGUUUUGCUAAAUAGUUGGGUUUGAUCUAGUUUAACCCUAUAUAAACCUAAUUGCUAGGUAUACGAACGCGUUGGCGAAAUCAGUUCGGCGAUUCGUCGAGCCGGUGCAAAGAUAUUGAAGAAACAGGCGAUUCGACAUUCGUUUCCGGCUGGAGGGCCGAGGCGGCGUCCAUAAAUCGCGGGAUCGGAUUCCGAGUGUCGUAACAAGAAACCGAAGACCUUUAAUUUCUGGAUCGUGGAUCGGAAGUUGUUCGGUGGUCGCGCGUGAAUUAAGUCGAGUCGAGCGGCGUGCGCCGCGGGAGGCCGAUUGCGAGUGACCACGAGCAAUCGGAACGCUAUAAAAGGUGGGUGGUGACCAUCCCGAAGCAGUUGAACUGCUCCCUAUGUCUAAGUAUUGUGGUUGAUCAACUCGCAUAUUGAGCAUGAUGCAUUAUAGGGUGCUUGAUUAGUUUUACAUGUUCUUGCAUGCUAAAGGUAGUAUUGUAUUACUCGUUUAACACUUGGGCCUUGUAUGCAUGAGAUUGAGAUAUGUUGAUUAGUAACACUAUAAUGAGAUGAUAAAUGUGAACUUGAUCCUCGGUAGACGAAGACCUAGUGGGUGUGUAAUUAGUGUAAUAGGAACACUUAAAUAAGAACGAGUGGCAUUUGGACUAGUGUAACUAUUAUCCAUAAUAAGGUAUUAAAUAGUUGCAUUUCCAUUAAUUCUUACAUGAUCCUUAGUAGUGUAGCAACAUAAGUUUGGCACUUGACUUAGGAUGCAUGAGAAUAGGGGAAUUGUGACCUAGAACCCUAUAGUGGUAAAGUAAAUGACGAACUUAACCUUGUGUUAACGAGAACCAAAGAACGAGUGACAUAACGGGCCGCUCUAAUAAAUUCGGCCUUCAAAAGAUUUUCUAUUUCAUUCUUAAUUUGGAGUACAAUACUCGGCUCGAACUUACGAGCCGGUUGUUUAAAAGGCUUAAACCCUUUUUUAAUGGGCAGCCUAUGCUCUACAAUUUCUCGACUUAACCCAGGCAUUUCCUCAUAGCUCCAGGCGAAGCAGUCCUUGUACUCCUUCAAUAGUUCUUUCAGCUCUUUCUGCUGUCGAGCCGAAAGCUUUGCACUUAUAUAUGUCGAUCUCUUAUCUUCGUCGGAUCCCAAAUUUACUUCGAUCAGCGGGUCUUGGGUCUCCAACUUCUUCUCACCGACUUUAAUAGGCGAUUCUUCUAGAUCCAAUUCUUUUGCUUGCCUAUCUAUUUCGUGUGAUUUGUCGGUUUUGAUGACCGACUUCAUCUGACUUUCUUUCUCGGCCUUGUAAACCGAAUCUUUUAUAACUCCUUCGGCUUUAUUAGCCGAAUUGUCAUGCGUUACCACAUCGGCUAUGGCAGCCGAAUCAUUCUCAUAGCCGAUCUUGUUGAUCGGCUUAUCCUGUCGAGGCUCUUGACAAGCCUCUAUUCUCAAUUUUUUGGACUCCAUUUUAACCACCUAGGUGGCUUCUCAUCAGCCACCGUGCCAUUGACAUCUUUGAAGAGGAUUAAUUGAACCCCCUCUUCUGUUACUCUAACAAACGAAAUUUGAUCUGGAUCAGCAUCGGCCCAGUUGGUGUGGCCGAUGUCCUCCAUGUUGACAUCUAUCAUUUGAGGCCGUCCUUCGGCCCGGAUUUCUUCUACCUUGUCUCCUAUCCAUUGGAACAGUUUCCCGUGAAGUGUAGAGGGUACACACUCAUUUGAGUGUAUCCAAUCCCGUCCAAGUAAUAAAUUGUAGUGGGUAUCUGCAUCCACCAUAAAAAAUGCAGUUUUCAAAGUUUUUGAGCCUACCGUAAGUUCGGUGGUGAGUACUCCUCGAGCUUGUUGACCGUUUCCAGUGAAAUCGGUCAUGACUGAGUCGGUGGGCUUCAACUCGUCCUCAUCUUUGCCCAGCUUCUUGAAAAAAGAAGUAGGCAUUACAUUGACCAUGGCACCACCAUCUACCAUAACUCGGCCUACUGGCCGACCUUCAAUUAAGGCCUUUAUAAAAAGAGGCCUUAUGAAUCUCGUCUGCAUAGCCGAUGGUUUCUCAAAAACCACUGCAUCGGCUGGUUGAACAUCUUCCAAUUGCAACUGGGCUACUUUAAGCCUAUCUUCCUCCUCUUCUCUGAACUCUUCAUACUCGAUAAACUCUGCCUUAAAAGAUUGAGGCAGAGCAUAUACCAUAUUCACCUCAACUGGCGAUUCUUCGGCCGACUUUCCUUUAAUCCUCUGUUUCUUUUCUUCCGACUCCUUGGCCGUUUCGGCUGAAGAGUCACAUUCCAUCCGAACCUCCUUUUCCUUAGGGGGCCAUAUUUCUCUCUUGAUCAUCGUUUCGAGGGAAGCUAUUUUGUCUUCUAACUCCCUCCUGCUCAUUUUUUCUUCUGACUCAGCCUCGGUUGGCUGUUCUACCCUUGACUUCAUCCGAGGGGCAAGCAAUGAGCCGCCUGCGUCGUGGUCAUUUCUCAUUGGGUGAAAAUGGUGUGACUGCUCAUCAGGGCGCCUCCAUACAUUGAGCCUUAUCCCUUUCACUUCUUCGUAGUGUUGUCUUGCCUCGGCUUGCAUCCUCUGCUGCCGACGCUUUUGAGUUUUCGUUAACAUCGGCCCCUGCCACCUAGCCGAUGGUUUAACCUCAACUUCGUGCCAUUCAUCCACUGGCACAUUCGUCGUUACUUUUACCGUUCUCAAAUGAUUUUUCAAAAUUUCCCUUCUUUCCCAAGGUCUCGGCCAGGCUGUAUGCCGAGUUCCUUGACUAAUCUCCGACCGAGGAAUUCUAUGUCUCCCUCGGUCAUUCCCUCAAAUUCCGGUUCUGGUCUCGGCCUCAUUUGAUGCUGCCAAUGUGGCCGAUAUCCAGGAAUCCUUGGCUUGGUGCCGAAAGGUGUACCCUGGUAAUCCCAUUGGCUUUGACGCUCGCCAUGCCUGUUGUUGUAAUAAUCAUGUAGAAUCUUCUGAAUCAACAUGUCUUGUUUGCGUUGAACCGAUUUGACUUGCGGUUCAGUGUCAUUGGAGGCCUCAUCUGAGCCUUCUUCUUCUUGGUCUUCACCAUCAGGAAUGUUAUCCUACUCCUCGGGGAAUGCCAUCAACUCAUUCCACUCGUUGCCUCUUUUCUUAGCAUUGACAAUGGCUUCCCAAUCUUUCUUCGUCAUUUCGGCCUUGCAUCUUAUGCAAAGCCGAAGAUAUUUUUUGGCAUGUGCCACGUUGUCUGCGGUCUUCUGGUUUGCAGUCUCUUUGCCUUUAACAUUCACCAUGUUGACCUGAAAAGGAAAUGAACUUUCGUUAAUUACCUUAUUUUCAUUUUCUUGGUCGGCUAAUAUGAGCCGACCCUCAUCUAUUUCUUCUUGGAUCUGCCUUUUCGCAGUCGCUUUUCCUUUUCCUUUCACGUUCACGGCGUUGACCUGUGAUGGAAAAGGAUUCUUAUCAAUUUCCAUAUUUUUGUUUUCUUGGUCGGUAAAGAUGAGCCGACCUUCGUUUAUCUCUUUUUGUAUCUGCCUCUUAAAGGCAGUGCAUUCACUAGUUUUAUGGCUCUGCGAGUAGUGCCACUUACAAUAUCUUCUGCGUUUUAGUUCUUCUACCGGAGGUAUAGUUUGACCCUCCUGUAGUUUAAUUCAUCCAUCCUUUAGCAACCGAUCAAAAAUCAAAUCGGUAUUUGCUAUAUCAAACGAAUAACUAAAUGCAGACACAUGUGCUUUCGCCUCUCUUGAUUUGGCGGGUUUUAACAAAGCACAUUUGUACGGUUGAUUAUUUCUCACCAUCUCGGCAGCACAGACUUCGGCUUCAUCAGCCGAAUCCUUAUUCUCUUCAGACGAAUUCGGCUCUUCAUGAGCCGAAGACUCUUCAAAGAAAGAGAUAUUUUUCUCCUUUUCUUUGGUCGAAUCUUUGUUUCGGCUCAAUCUGGGCCGAUCUUCAUUGUAACCUUUUCGAAAUUGCUCAUAUUGAGCAACUCAAACUCCCAAAUCAAAAAGAUUUGAAAAGAAUUUAUCCUCAAAAUGAUCUUUAAUUUUAAAAUGCAUGCCGUUGAAUGCCAUUUUGGCAAAUUCCGAUUCCGGCAUUCUUACGAAACAACGGCUUCGAGCUGUUUUGAAUCGGUUCAAAUAUUUAUCAACCGAUUCUCUUGUUCUUUGUUUGAAUUGAGCCAAAUCCGCAACUGACAGCUCUGGCUCCGUUCUAUAAAACUGUUCAUGAAAUUUACCUUCUAACUCGUCCUAAUCUCGGACAGAGUUAGCAGGUAAACUCGUGUACCAAGUGAAAGCCGUCUUAGUCAAUGAGGUAUUAAAUAACCUCAAUUUUAAAAACGGAUCUGCUGCGGCCUCACGGCACUGAGCUGUAAACCAUGCGACGUGCUCGACCGUAUUUUCAGUCUCGUCGCCAUAAAACUUGUCAAACUUCGACAUCUUCUAAUUUGCCGGCUAUGGGUGUUCUACAUCUAUAUUUGCAGGGUAUGGUGACUUGAAUACGGGCCGCAUUGCCGGCCUUGCGCCUAUUCCGAAAGUAUUCCGGAUGGCUUCUUCUAUUUGCGCAUAAAUCUCGUUAUUAAUCCCCUGUAAAGGGGCUUGCGCUGGUGCUGGAUUCGGCGGUUGUGGAACUCCGAUGUUUUGUACCACUGGAUUAACCCCUUGUACAUUUGGAGCCUGCCCCCUCGCCCCUGCAUUUUGAGGCUGGUACACUGCUACCGGAGGGGGUGGAGGUAACCCCCAAGCCACUUCUGGCUGUUGACCGGCAUUAACGACAGCCGGUCUAUAAGCCACUUGAUACGGUGCCCACUGGUACUGGGGCUGACCAUUUACCGGUGUCACAGGAUUUUGUAACACUGAUGUUAUAAUAGGCGCUUGAAGGCCUGUUAUCGGCUAUUCGUUCCGAUUUACAACUGCCCUAUUCGGGCGAUGUUCUCGUUAGAGGCUGUAAUUGCGGCCAAGACGGCAUCCAGCCGUGCAGUACUCGCAUGACUGUUUUGGUCCAAAACUUGCAGGACCCGAGUCAUUUGCUGUAGCACACUGGACCUUUGCAAAUUGCGAGGUUCGAGUGUUCGAUAUGUAUUCCGAACGUUUCCACACUUGGUGGAGGGCCGUAGAUGGUAUGCCGGCUUAAAAGUUCGAUCUCUAGAGUUUUGGCAAGUCCUGAGAGUUUUCACUCUCGGGGACCGGUCCCUGAUAUGAGAGACCGGUCCCCUCAGCACAGUGCUGCGAUAGGGCUUGAGGCAACCGAUCCCUGGCUGUGAGAGACUGGUUCACGAACGCUAGUUUUGCGGGACGAGCCGAGAGGCCGGUCCCUAGCAGGGAGAGACCGGUCCCUCAGCGCGUGAGCGGCCCAGACCGGGCAGUGCACAGAGUGGAUUUUUGAGGGGCCUAAGUGGAUUUUGUUACCUUACAGGCUUUAGGCAGCCUCUCUUCCCCCUCUCACUCUCAUUUUCUCUCCCUCACACUCUCCCUACACUUCUAGAGAGAGAAAAGAAAGGAGAAGAAGGAGAAAGAGAUGAGAGGAGCUUGCUUGGAGGCCUUGGAGCACAAUCUUCUUCCUCAUUUCUCACCUUUGGAGGCUUGGAGCUUGCUUUUGGAGCUUUGUGGUGGAUCAAUCUUCAACCCUAGAAGAUUUUGAGCUUGGAUUGGAGCAUCCUAGAGGUAAGUGGCAAGGUUCCUUCCUCUAGAUCUUAGUUUUGGGGCUUUUUGCUUGUUUAAACCCUAGAUUUUGGAUUUUAGGGUUAGAUUUGGGGAUUCUUGAUUUGAGGCUUCUUGAUCUCAUUGGAAUGGUUUGGAACCUUUAUAUAGGUUAGAUUGGAAGACCUCUACCUCCCAUUUGAAGAUUAAGAGAGGGUUUUUCACUUGAGGUGAGUUUUUCCCAACCCUAGCUUGAGAUGGUUAAUGAUCAACCUUGUGGUUGUUCGUUACGUUUGUUUGACCCUUGUUCCUACAUCUCUAGGGUGCUAGGAGGCUAGUCGACACCUUCGUCGGAGCUUACGAAGGAUCGCGAGUGUUUUGGUGGGUUUGGCUUCUUGAACACGGGGCAAAAUGGCCCCUAUGCUUUCUAUACUCGUCGUAAAGUAUUUCUAAGUGCAAAUCCAUGCUAUUUAUGAUUUAUAAGAAUUUUAGAACACUUAACAUGCAUGCCUUAUAUAUCAUAAAAUUUUCACUCUAUAUAGUAGAGUUAUAUGUGUUGGUAGCAUGCAUGAGAGGAGUGGUUCUUGUUGCGAGUUGGGAACUCAUUAUGUAUAAUGGAAAUGACUAGAAUUAUGCAUUAUAAACAUAAUUAUCAUACUUAGACUUGUUGAACAAAAGUGUCAUAAAGAGGCAUUUGAAACUAGUAAACUAUGAAACUGCAACAUGAUUACAUAGAGAUAGGCCUAUGAGAUAUGUGAUAUAUUCCAUGUAUUACUCAUGAGGACUUGGUACUUGUGACGGAUCGUAUCCAUGCUUGCGAUUGUGCUCAUUCGCACAUGCUUGUGAGGGUCGCUCCCUACAAGCCGGCACUCCGGAGUUGGCCAUCGCGAUAUGUUCGCCGUGCGAGAUUGGGCGCCGAAGUGGAUUGCCGUGGGAAAGGCUCAUUCCUAGGGUAGGGAUGUUGACUACCAUGGGGCCAUUAUGCACGGUAAAGCCAGACAGCCUUCGGGUGUGUCUUAUGCCAGACAGCCUUCGGGUGGGUCUUAUCAGAGUUGAACUUUAAACAGUUAAAGUAAACAAUGACACCUUUACUAUUUACAUUGUGGGUAUUGGGUUAGUUGCAUACUUAUGCAUUUGCAUGUUGGAUACUCUUGUGCACAUACUUGUAGUAGUUGUCUUCUUACUUAUGCAAGCCAUGCUAAGUAGAGACAUCAUGGAUGGAUAGUAUUCAUAUUUAUUUCCUAGUUGUUUUAUCACUUUGGCUUAUACUUGUACACUGACCCCCUUUUUGUUGUAGUUGGGCCUAGUGGCGCAUUUCCUUGAAGUCAGUAAUUGCCCACUGGGAACUAUUAUUCAAUAGUUCUCACGCCCCUGUUUCUAUGUUUUCUUUUUCAGAGCCUUCGGCACCGGCGGAGGCGCGGGAUCGCGACAAAGGUGUCGUGUAGCCAGCUCGGGAGAGAGUUCGUUUUGCGAUAGGUGGUUACUCCUUCUUUUGUUUAUGUUAGAGAGAGGGAGAGUUUUGGCACCAUAUAUAGAGGGACCACCUUGUAUUCAGAUUUGUACUUGCUUUGGGACUCCUUUUGUAUUAUCUUAUGUUUUACUUAGCGAAUCAUCACUUUUAUGAUCUUCUUCUUGUUGUAGCAUUUCGUAGUUACCUUGCUCUGGUACUCCUAGAUGCCUUCUCGUGUUGUUUUAUUUACUGCUUUAUUUUAGACGCCUUGUAUGUUUUAGACGUACGGCGGGUCUGGACACGCGCCGGGCGGGCUUCAGUGGGUCCCGGGGCGUAACAGAUUAGUUUGGUAUCAGAGACCUAGGGUUAAGUCUUAGUGGACCUAGCAAACCUUAGGCCGGUUGGACUAUAGGAAAUAGGCUCGUGAGAGACGAGGUCUACUUGACUUGUAAGCGAAAGUAUCUCAAUUGGGUAUUUUGGAUAACUCUAGAAAGUAGAGUUAAAUCGGAGUGUAUAGCUCCUAACUUCGCGGAGGGUUACGUUGGCGGCCGACAACGUAACAUCGGGAGUUAGUAGUGAAGCACACUUUCUUACUUUCGCCUAAUUUGGGUAUUAUCUUUGAGCGGGGAUGCGAUAGCGUGGGUUUUUGCUAACUUACGCUUUUAUGAUGUUGUAGUGCGAUGCCGAUCACACGCUCCCAAUCUGCCGGGGCGGAUAAUGCGGCAAACUUUGAGGAGGUCGAGACCUCCGCUACCUCCGGAUCGAGCGAGGUCCGUGAGUUGAGGGGCCAGAUUGCGGCCCUCACUGAUUUAGUCACUCAGCAGGCGGAGGCAGCCCGACAGCAGACUGAAGCGGCGCGCCGACAGGAGGCGCGGAUGAAGCGCCUGGAGGACCUUUUACUGCAGCAGGCAGCAGCUUCUAGGGAGACUCAGGCCCCUACGCCGCCAGCACCAGUUGUGGACGUUGCUCCGAGAGCGCCAUCCCCCGCGCCCAGUUCUUCGCGUGCGGCGCCUGUGGCCGCGCCUCAGGGCGAGGGUUUGGUGGCACCCCCUGUUCAAGCGCCCCCGAUCGGAGCUGUUUUUCCCGUAUUAGCCGAGGGAGCAGAGCGGGACAGACUGAUGGAACGCCUUAAUGAGUUCAGGAGGUGCAGCCCCAGGAUUUUCGAUGGCGAGAAGGUCGACCACUGGAUCGUGGAAAAGUGGUUGAUGCACAUGGAGAAGCUCUUCCGCGACACCUUCGUGGAGGGAUCGAGUUUGGCUCGCCACACACCAUUUGGACGGCGAGGCCUACCGCUGGUGGUUGGAUCUCCAGGAGAACCCCAGCACUGAUUUGGCAGCUAUCACAUGGAAGAAGUUCAAGGAGCUUCUUUUGGCGCAUUACUUCCCGACUAGCGUCAAUCGGAAGAUGGAGCAGGAUCUGCGCAACUUGCGCCAAGGUGAUCGGACUGUAGCCGAGUACGAGCGGGAGUUUUCUCGGCUUCUUCACUGCGUGCCCUUCGUCGUGCGGGACGACGAGGAUAAGGCCCUCAUUUUCGAGCGAGGGUUGCGACUGUCGAUCUUCCGGUUUGUGCAAUCCUCUAACCUCCAAACCUACCGGAAGGUGGUGGAUCGCUCGCUCAUAGUGGAGAGCGGCGCAACAGAGGUCCAGGAGCGACGAGAGGCCAUGGACAAAGGCAAGGCCAAGAGGCCUGCGGCUGAGGGUGCGAGCCAGACGCACUCUAGGAGGCCGUCGAAGCAUCCUAGGAGCCAGCAGCAUGGACGCGGCUCAGAAGCACAGCGAGGAGGAUCUGACCGACGCCGGCCCUCCUCGUGUCUGAUCUAUGGUGGUCAUCAUCACCCACCGCAGUGCCCACAGCGGGUGGGUAGGUGCUUCCAGUGUGGCCAGGAGGGCCACGUGCGAACUGAGUGCCCGAGAGGUCCUUCACCGGCACCGUCGACUGCAUCGGCACUGGCUCUACCAGCCGCCAGCCACGGGACUCUGUCGACACAAUACCAGCCUGGGCGGCCACCCGUCCAGCGGCAGAGCGAGGGUUUUCGGCAGGCCCCGAGUGGGCGCAUGUAUGCCGCUCAGACUGAGGAGGCGGCAGCAGCCGAGGAUGUGGUUGCAGGUAUCAUUUUACUUGAUGGCAUUAGAGUUCCUGCUUUAUUUGAUAUCGGUGCAUCACAUUCAUUCAUAGAUCGGCUGUUUGCCGAGUUGCAUGGCAUUCCUUUGGUUUCUUUGUUGCAUCCGGGAUAUGUUGUAGUACCCGACUACACUCUGGAUAUUAGAGAGUAUUGCCCUAGUUGCCCUGUUCAGGUAGGAGAUUGAAUUAUGCCCGUAGAUUUACUAGCCCUGCGCAAGCUAGGGGAUUUCGAUGUGGUCUUGGGUAUGGAUUGGCUAACUAAGUAUUAUGCCACAAUAGAUUGCAAGAAUCGCACGGUUACCUUUAGAGAACCGGGGCAGAUUGAGGUUGUGUUUAGAGGAUGCCGGAGUUCGCUUUUCGCGAUGUCGAUCAGCUCGUCUCGAGCUAGGCAGCUGAUCAGCCGAGGAUGUGUAGCCUACUUGGCUAGUGUUGUGAUGAGGGGCGAGGAUGACACCUCUAGGAUCGAGGAUAUUCCGGUGGUGCGGGAGUUCCAGGAUGUGUUUCCAGCUGAGCUUCCGGGCAUGCCUCCUGAUAGGGAGAUUGAGUUUGUGGUAGAUCUCGUCCCUGAGACUACCCCAAUCUCGAAGGCACCCUAUAGGAUGGCACCGGCGGAACUGAAGGAGCUGAGGGCACAACUACAGGAUCUGUUGCACAAGGGCUUCAUUCGACCAAGCGUCUCGCCGUGGGGAGCGCCAGUUCUAUUCGUCAAAAAAAAGGACGGAUCACUUCGCCUAUGUGUGGACUAUCCUGAGCUCAAUAACGUCACGAUCAAGAACAAGUAUCCGUUGCCGAGGAUUGACGACUUGUUUGAUCAGCUUCAAGGAUCGAGUAUGUAUUCGAAGAUAGACUUGCAGUCGGGAUACCACCAGUUAAAGAUCAAACCCGAGGAUGUAUCGAAAACAGCUUUUAGAACACGGUAUGGACACUAUGAGUUCACAGUGAUGCCGUUUGGGCUUACUAAUGCCCCGGCAGCUUUUAUGGAUUUCAUGAACCGUGUUUUCAAGCCAUAUCUGGACAGGUUUGUCAUGGUGUUCAUCGACGACAUUUUGGUUUACUUCCGAAGUGAUGCGGAUCACGAGGAGCAUUUGAGACUUGUACUUCAAAUACUUCGGGAAAAUAAGCUUUAUGCCAAGCUGAAAAAGUGCGAAUUUUGGCUUCGAGAGGUAGCCUUCCUUGGACAUUUGAUAUCGAGAUCGGGUAUAGCCGUGGAUCCUAAGAAGAUUGAAGCAAUCAAGGAUUGGCCGAGACCGACGAGCGUCAUGGUGUAGCACACUGGACCUUUGCAAAUUGCGAGGUUCGAGUGUUCGAUUUGUAUUCCGAACUUUUCCACACUUGGUGGAGGGCCGUCGAUGGUAUACCGGCCUAAAAGUUCGAUCUCGAGAGUUUUGGCAGAGUCCUGAGAGUUUUUACUCUCGGGGACCGGUCCCUGAUAGGAGAGACCGGUCCCCCAGUGAACAGUGCUGCGCAGCCGGCGAGGCAACCGGUCCCUGGCAGUCGAGACCGGUCCCCGAGCGCGUCUGCGCGGGGAGAGACCGGUCCCGCGCAGGGAGAGACCGGUUCCCGAACGUUGGAUUUUCGGGGGCAGGCUGAGAGACCGGUCCCAGGUCGGGGAGACCGGUCCCUCUGGGCGAAAACUGCCCAGAC